Molecule: unclassified non-coding RNA, 1401 nt
Filed under: uncultured Neocallimastigales
Lineage: Eukaryota; Fungi; Neocallimastigomycota; Neocallimastigomycetes; Neocallimastigales
Description: partial contains small subunit ribosomal RNA, internal transcribed spacer 1, 5.8S ribosomal RNA, internal transcribed spacer 2, and large subunit ribosomal RNA
Rfam family: Eukaryotic large subunit ribosomal RNA (bases 629-1401)
Source: RNAcentral
GGAAGUAAAAUCGUAACAGGUUUCCGUAGGUGACCUGCGGAAGGAUCAUUAAAAAAUGUGGUACCAAUUAUUGGUACUAAUUAAUCAUCCUACCCUUUGUGAAUUUGUUUGUAUGAAUUUUUUUAAAUGGUCUUUCCUAAGUUGGAUUGUUAGUAAAAUACAAAAAGACUUAGGGAAUGACUUUUUUAAAAGACUUUUUUUUAAUUAAAACUUUUUGUAUUCAUUUGUCUAAAAUUUAUUUUUAUAACAUAAAAAAACAACUUUUGACAAUGGAUCUCUUGGUUCUCGCAACGAUGAAGAACGCAGCAAAAUGCGAUAAGUAGUGUGAAUUGCAGAAUACGUGAAUCAUCGAAUCUUCGAACGCAUAUUGCACUUUUUUAGUUUACUAAAAAAGUAUGUCUGUUUGAGUAUCAGUAAAAUAUUCUCACAAAAACGAUUUGUUUUUUGUGGUUAUGAGUGUUUUACAACGAUAAACAAGUUGUUUCACUUUAAAUUCUUUUUUAAUUGAAUUUUACCAAUUCAUAAAUUAAAAUUGGAUAAAGUUUUCCUUUAACGAGGAAUAACCUAAACAAUUUUAAAUUUUAUGGAUUAAUUACAUUCAACAAAGGAAUCUAUACAACAAAUAACUUGAUCUCAAAUCAGAUAAGAGUACCCGCUGAACUUAAGCAUAUCAAUAAGCGGAGGAAAAGAAACUAACAAGGAUUCCCUUAGUAACGGCGAGUGAAGCGGGAAGAGCUCAAAUUUGAAAUCUUCAAGGUUUGACCUUGACGAAUUGUAGUUUAUAGAAGUGUUUUCUGUUGGAGUUUUGGUAAGAGUUCUUUGGAAUAGGACAUCAUAGAGGUGAGAAUCCCGUAUUUGACCAUGACUUUCCAGCUGUGUGAUACACUUUCAAAGAGUCGGAUUGUUUGGGAAUGCAGUCCAAAAUGGGUGGUAAAUUUCAUCUAAAGCUAAAUAUUGGCGAGAGACCGAUAGCGAACAAGUACCGUGAGGGAAAGAUGAAAAGAACUUUGAAAAGAGAGUUAAACAGUACGUGAAAUUGUCAAAAGGGAAGCGUUUGACACCAGUGUUGUUUUCUCGAAAAUCAAUUUAAUGAGUUCUUGUUUUUAAGUUAUUGUGACUUUAUCAGCGCAUUUCUUAUUUUACUUGACUCAUUGAAUGCACUUUUCGUUUAACAAGUCAACAUCAAUUUCUUUGGUGGUAAAAAGUUUAAAGGAAGGUGGCUUGGACUUCGGUUCAAGUGUUUAUAGCCUUUUUUCUAUGCCAUCGGAGAGAUUGAGGUCUGCAGCGUAGAUCCUUCGGGGUUAGAUACCUUUGUGCUAAGUUAUAGUUUUUUAUGGACAACUUGUUGACUAUAAUUAAACCUGUAAUUUACUCGCUUAGGCUAUUUUACCUACGCUUAGG